CGUCUUCCUCCUUCGACCCGCUCCAGCCCCUUCCCGGGGGCGGACUGCGGCCGCUACUCCAGUCCCCGGCUCGGCCCCUGGGCUAGGCCGCGACGGGCCCCGGGCGCCCUCAGGGCGGUGUCGCGGUCCGAGGCGGCGGGUGGUGGCAGGGCGGGGCCACUGCCGCCUGGGGGUGGGGGCCCAGCUCGGCCUCGUGGGGGCUCCGCUCGCCGCUACCUUCACUAGGCUCGCUCGGAUCCCGCCUCAGCGCCGCCGACCGCCGCCAUCUUGGAGAAGGAGAGAAAAGCGCGAGCGGCCAGGGAGCCUCAGUCGAGCCCAGAGCGCAGACUCCGCUUGGGAAGGGGAAUCCCGUUGGUGCAAGAGCGCCGAGCGCAUCGAAUGAGACGCUGGGCUUGCUGAGCUCCGGAGCUGUCCUGUAGUGAGAAUUUGCUCUGUGCCGCGCUUGGGCUAGAAGCUUUACGAACACGACAGCGUUUGAUUCUCACCGCAUCCCUUGAGGUCAUCCUUUGAGAAGAUCAAUAAAAUGGAUAAAUCUCUAGCUGGACUGAUCAGGGAGAAAAAAGGAGAGAAGGCAUCAGAAACCAAGCUGCAAAAUGCACACACACAAAAUUUUGUCUUUGCUAUCCAUCUGUGUUGACACAUAUACAUCCAGAUUUAGGAGCAAAGGAGCCUCAUGUCUGCCAUUUACUCCAGAUGCUUCAGAAGACAAUGCACAUGCACUCACAUCUAUGGAGAGAGGAUACAGCACACGUGGUACAGAGUGUUCCCGUUGACAACGUGUCUGUCUUAGGGUCAUAAGAAACCAUUAUAUGCAGCAAAUCAAUUACAGCACAGAUGAAGAGUUGUCCCUUCCCUGGUGCUGGAGGAAAAUUCUGGUGUCCUCAUGGGUCUGCGGGUCAGCUGAGGCAAAAGAAACCCCUGUGGUCGCUUUAAGAUACAAAACAGAACCUUUGUUCGGAAAUUGGAAUGUACAGUCCAAUCUAUUAGUCAGCACUUCGGUGUGUUUCCAAGGCGCCAGAUGGAUUUUUCUGGGGAUUCCACUGCUGCCCUCAACUCCCAUUCAAUUCCCCUGGACAAUUCUGCCUCAUCAGCUCCUGGAUUUCCCACAAUCCACUCCCACAGACCCUUGCAGUUGUUAGAAUCCUCCUGACUUGCAAACCCUGGGUCCUUUCCCAGAGGCAGAUCCUGAGACCGACCUUUGUGUCCACGUGGUUUAUUAAGGAGAUGCUCCCCGGAGAGACCUGUGAGCAAGUCGGGAAAGGAGGACAGGGAAGGGGAAGAAGCCUAGCAGCCGCGCGACCUGAGGCGAAGCCCCAGCAUCAGUCUGGUUCCAUGGGAAGCUCUGGAGUGGAUAUUAAACCUC
Mesoplodon densirostris (Blainville's beaked whale) is the source of this 1363-nucleotide long non-coding RNA. RefSeq lists it as uncharacterized. The transcript has 6 exons. The record is from RefSeq and is a predicted model, not a curated record. Lineage: Eukaryota; Metazoa; Chordata; Mammalia; Artiodactyla; Ziphiidae.